GAUGAACGCUGGCGGCGGGCUUAACACAUGCAAGUCGAACGAGAAGUGAAGACGGAAACGUUCGGGCGGAAGGCGUUAUUUCGAGUGGCGGACGGUUGGGUAACGCGUCGGGAACCUGGCACUUAUAGGGGAUUAGCACUUCGGAACGACUGUUAAUCCGCCAUAAAACGACAGGAGCGGGUUUUGCGGGUGGGAAAGCUCCGGGGGUAUGAGAUGGACCCGCGUUCGAUUAGGCAGUUGGAGGGGUAACGGCCCACCAAAGGGACGAUCGAUAGCCGGUCUGAGAGGAUGACCGGCCACAUUGGGACUGAGACACGGCCCAAACUCCUACGGGAGGCAGCAGUGGGGAAUAUUGCACAAUGGGGGCAACCCUGAUGCAGCGACGCCGCGUGAGUGAAGAAGUAUUUAGGUAUGUAAAGCUCUAUCAGCAGGGAAGAAAAUGACGGUACCUGAGGAAGAAGCCCCGGCUAACUACGUG
RNAcentral lists this ribosomal RNA (478 nucleotides) under uncultured bacterium. RNAcentral describes it as "partial 16S ribosomal RNA". It matches the Rfam family "Bacterial small subunit ribosomal RNA", at positions 28 to 507 of the family's 1533-position model. The record is from RNAcentral.